UAAAAUUCACGUGUUGAAGGCCCAAGCCUCAGUGUGACCGUAUUUGGAGAUGGGCCCUUUAAGGAGGUGGUCAAGGUUAACUGAGGUCAUAAGGGUGGGGCCCUGAUCCAGUAGGACUGGCAUCCUUAUGAGAAGAGGGAGAGAGAAGACCAUGUGAGGACACAGUGGGAAGGCCGCUGUCUGCAAGCCAGGCAGGGAGCUCUCCCCGGAAACGGAACCUGCUGGCACCGUGAUCUUGGCCUCCAGCCUCCAGCACCCCGAGAGAUGAGUGCUAUGGCUAAUCGAGAUGGUAUUUUCUGCUGGAAGCAAGUAAGCAAGUUUCCCACAAACCAAGCCAGCUUCUCCCAGAAGACAGGCGUUCUCGCCGGCUCUGUGCGCUGUCUCAAAGAUCUCGGUCUGCACAAUGGGCGACACUGAGGCAAAAACUGGAAACAGCCAGAAGUCCUUCAAAGAGUGAACAGUAAACACGCCGGCCUGGGCCUGCCGUGGAACACGUGCCGCAACAAAGAACAAACUCUUGACCCGAGAGACAACCCGGGCUGCUUCAGAGAACGACGCUGAGUGCAAAAAGCCAAUCCCAAAAGCUGCCACACUGUUUGAGCUCACUUACAGGACUCUCCCAUGAUGACAGAAGUAUGGAGAUGGACAACAGACCAGUGGUUGCCAGAGGGUGGCGGGCACAGUGGGAGGGAGGUGGGUGUGGCCACAGGAGAACAGCUGGAGGGAUCCCUGACACGUGGGGACUGUCCAGGGUCUUGACUGUGGCGGUGGAUCCGCAAACCGACAUGGGUGAUAAAGUGCAGAGAACACCAGGGAAUGAGUACAAAUGACACCAGGGACAUCUGAGGGAGAUGGGUGGGUCUCCCUCCCAGGAUCUCUCUGGCUUAUUUCUUAGAACUGCAGGUGAAUCUACAACUAUCUCAAAAUAAAAGAUUUCAC
Molecule: long non-coding RNA, 939 nt
Filed under: Equus caballus (horse)
Lineage: Eukaryota; Metazoa; Chordata; Mammalia; Perissodactyla; Equidae
Description: lncRNA (ENSECAG00000054117.1)
Source: RNAcentral